This 440-nucleotide ribosomal RNA is filed under the name uncultured bacterium. RNAcentral describes it as "partial 16S ribosomal RNA". It matches the Rfam family "Bacterial small subunit ribosomal RNA", at positions 338 to 795 of the family's 1533-position model. The record is from RNAcentral.
CCUACGGGCGGCUGCAGUGGGGAAUAUUGCACAAUGGGGGAAACCCUGAUGCAGCGACGCCGCGUGAGUGAAGACGUAAUUCGUUACGUAAAGCUCUAUCAAUAGGGACGAAAAUGACGGUACCUGAGUAAGAAGCUCCGUCUACAUACGUGCCAGCUGCCGCGGUAAUACGUAGGGGGCAAGCGUUAUCCGGAUGUACUGGGUGUAAAGGGAGCGUAGACGGUGCGCCAAGUCUGGAGUGAACUGCCGCAGCGUAACUGCGGAACUGCAUUGGAAACUGGCGCACUAGAGUGCAGGAGGGGUGAGCGGAAUGACUGGGGUAGAGGUGAAAUGCGUAGAUAUUAGGAGGAACACCGGUGGCGAAGGCAGCUUACUGGACCGUAACUGACGUUGAGGCUCGAAAGCGUGGGGAGCAAACAGGAUUAGAUACCCGAGUAGUC